RNAcentral lists this ribosomal RNA (234 nucleotides) under uncultured bacterium. RNAcentral describes it as "partial 16S ribosomal RNA". It matches the Rfam family "Bacterial small subunit ribosomal RNA", at positions 118 to 351 of the family's 1533-position model. The record is from RNAcentral.
UGAGUAACCUGCCCUUAACUCUGGGAUAAGCCUGGGAAACUGGGUCUAAUACCGGAUAUGACUCCUCAUCGCAUGGAGGGGGGUGGAAAGCUUUUUUGUGGUUUUGGAUGGACUCGCGGCCUAUCAGCUUGUUGGUGAGGUAAUGGCUCACCAAGGCGACGACGGGUAGCCGGCCUGAGAGGGUGACCGGCCACACUGGGACUGAGACACGGCCCAGACUCCUACGGGAGGCAG